CCGUCGGCGCGCCUCUACUCACGGUCCACUCGUGAAGGAAGAUGAUCGCCUCGCUCUCCACGCAUCCCUUGUGCCUGCGGAACUCGUCGCGGACAUAGCCGUCGCCCAGGGGCUGGAUCUCGGCCGAUGGGAACUGACGGCGUGAGAUGUGAUAUUUUAAUAAAUUAGAUCUCGGAUUCUCGUACAUUAUCUGUAAUAAUUUAAGCUGCUUUAUAAUAAGAUUGAAGGAUGAAAAGUAACGAGUAUAAAUAAGAUUGAAGGAUGAAAAGUAACGAGUUACGAACAGAGUUGGGUUCCUUUUAUGAAAAGAAGAAUGAAAUAACAGUCAUCAAACCCAAAAUGGUACCCCGUGUCUUUAACAGAAGGGAUCGCAAGGAAAAUAAUUCAGGUAAUGUUCUGAAAAGGUUUAUGGUAUCAAUUGUAUAUAAAAAAAUUGCCUCUCUUUAUUAAAGUUAAGUCUAAAAAAGUCAAUGUUUUACCACCCAUUUCUAAAGUGAAUUAUAAUGCUAUAAAAAAUUAUAGUAUUAUGUAAUAGAUUAAUAAUUAAACAUUAAUAAUAACAGAGUUAAUGAUAAAAUUGUUAAUUAUUUAUAAUUAAAAAAUAAGUAUGCAGGUCGCGAGAAAGAUAAAGAGAAGCAAUAAUAAAUGUAUUGUGUAGGAUCAGGUUAAGUAUAAGGCAAAUGUUUAAUGUUCGAAUACGUCAUUAUAUUAAUCAAAUUGAAGUAAUUAUUGUUAUCAUGUCAUGUGACAAUCAGUAAAAGGACGCUAAUUUAUUUUCUUGCAUUUCGGGUUUAUGUGCGUGCUCUUGAAUUUAUCAAGCGUGUAUAAGAUAUAUAUAGUUGAGUUCUUAUCUUGUGACCCGAAAAAAUAAUAUUAAUCUUACAAAAUAAGCAAUUCAUAUCAUGCAGAAAUAUUACGAAAUUGAAAGACUAUAAAAACAUUUCAUCUAUUUCUAUUUUAGCGGCACUAAUAUGGAUCGUAAAUAAUAUGAUCAUGAAUGAUUUAUUCGUUGAAAUAUUGAAUAUGCGUAUAAUUGGAUUGACGUGAAGAGAACAAUUUUUUAAUAUGUGACGGAUUACUUAUCUUUACGAUUUAACAGGUACAAAAAGAAUAUUACGUAUGGAAAGAAGUAUGUUACACAUCAUGAAAGAUAUUUACGAUUUAAUUUAUGAUUUAUUAAUCAUAAAACUGAUAAAAGAGAGAUAUUUUUAUGAAAAGUUGGACAGCAUUCGUGAAUUAUUUUAUUAGUUACAAACUCGAAUACGAAUACGAAUAAAUUAUUUUUUAACUAUAUGUCAUACACUCGAUAAAACAUCAUAAAACCAGAUCGAGAAUCAUCAAUGGAGAUUUAAAUACGGAUUAUCCGAAAUAAUUAUUAAUAUUAUCAAUGAUGCCAAAAUACUAAUACUAAAAUACUUUUAUAAUUUCUCUGUACUUUAAAUAUUUUCUUCUCUUGGAGUUUUAUACAAAUUAUAUAUAUUCGCUUGUUGUUUGUUUGACCAUUGACAGCAAGUAUUACCAAUUAAUCAUCAUUUACCUUUCUGUAUUUACCUAUCUGUGUUCCUCGGAUUGGUGAAAUUCUUUUCGUCUUUGUUUUCAUUCGAUGAAUCAUCGCACCUGUACGACUUCGGUUAUUUUACUGCAAUGCAGCUGCAGCAAAGAAUACAUAAAAGAAGCAGUAACGGAAAGUCUACGUAUAGACCUCAUUGGGCCUGAUGAGACAAAGCGCUCGUUAACAGUCACAUUUGAUUAUUUAAAAAAAUUUCCAUCGUUACCAAUAAAUUAGGUACUAACGACGUUACAUGAAUAAAAAAAGUCUGUAAUUAAGUCCCGCGCCGAUAUGUAAUUUGUUUCACUCACGUGCAAGGCAGACUCUUGCAGUAAUAACACUUUGCCAGCGGUCUUUUGCAAUUGGAUCUGUCUUUCCUGCAUCUGCACGGCGUUAGUUUACAAACGCAGCCAAUGUAUCGGCUUGGCAUCGAUUUUUGAACAGUGCUUUUACGUUCGUUUGUCCUAGGUCUUGGACUACAUCGGCAAUUAUUCGGUGAUUUGUUUCUAGAUGACCUUUCUGUUUUGGCACAUCUAAGCACAGAAAAUUCAACGCCAAAGUUUAAGAGAAAGUCAUCUACAAACGAUUUUUAGUUCUAUCCUGGUAAAAACUUUUUUUAGGAAAAAUUUACAUUUUUUCUUAGAAAUUAAAGAGAAAUUGCUCAACUGAAUAAAACUUUGUUAAAAAUGAAAAAUGCCAAUAAGAGUCGACAUUGGGUGUUUGCGUGUACAAUAGUAUAUUAUCAUUAAAAAUUAAAAAUUACAUAUGGACGUUUCGGUCCCAAGACGUGUGAUACUAUAUACGAUUGGUAUAAACGAUCUGUAUAUAUGAAUAAGAUAACAAAUCGCCCUAUAAUUUACGUUUAUCGCACCCUAGCGUUCCAUAUAUGGUAUACAGAUAGAUUGUUUAUGUUUAUGCAUCACGACAUCAUAAAUAUUCAAUGAAUAUGUGAAUUUUUUCUUGUAUAACUUGAUUACGGUAUGACUCAUACUAAUCAUGCCAAAUUUAAUUUAUUUAACGAAUGAGCUGAACAAAUCAUCAUUCAAGACAAUUACUUAUUUGCUUUGCAUUAUACUUAAGGCGGUUCAAACGUAGGAUCGAAACGUCUAUAUGUAAUUUUUAAUUUUUAAUGAUAAUAUUGUACACGCGAAAACUCAGUAUCGACUUCUUGUUGGCAUUAUUUUUUUUUCUUAGAAUUAUUCAUACAUGAAAUAUUCUAAGAUUUCCAAACUUUUUUAUCCUACAAUUUCUA
Solenopsis invicta (red fire ant) is the source of this 2801-nucleotide long non-coding RNA. RefSeq lists it as uncharacterized. The transcript has 3 exons. Lineage: Eukaryota; Metazoa; Arthropoda; Insecta; Hymenoptera; Formicidae. The record is from RefSeq and is a predicted model, not a curated record.